This 512-nucleotide ribosomal RNA is filed under the name uncultured bacterium. Its description in RNAcentral is "partial 16S ribosomal RNA". It matches the Rfam family "Bacterial small subunit ribosomal RNA", at positions 28 to 507 of the family's 1533-position model. The record is from RNAcentral.
GAUGAACGCUGGCGGCGUGCCUAAUACAUGCAAGUCGAACGAAACUUCUUUAUCACCGAGUGCUUGCACUCACCGAUAAAGAGUUGAGUGGCGAACGGGUGAGUAACACGUUGGCAACCUGCCCAAAAGAGGGGGAUAACACUUGGAAACAGGUUCUAAUACCGCAUAACCAUAGUUACCGCAUGGUAACUAUGUAAAAGGUGGCUAUACUACCGCUUUUGGAUGGGUCCCGGGCGCAUUAGCUAGUUGGUAGGGUAAAGGCUUACCAAGGCAAUGAUGCGUAGCCGAAUUGAGAGGUUGAUCAGCCACAUUGGGACUGAGACACGGCCCAGACUCCUACGGGAGGCAGCAGUAGGGAAUAUUCCACAAUGGGCGAAAGCCUGAUGGAGCAACGCCGCGUGGGUGAAGAAGGUCUUCGGAUCGUAAAGCCCUGUUGUUAGGGAAGAAAGUGAGUGAGAGUAACUGUUCACGUUUCGACGGUAUCUAAACAGAAAGCCACGGCUAACUACGUG